RNAcentral lists this ribosomal RNA (437 nucleotides) under uncultured bacterium. Its description in RNAcentral is "partial 16S ribosomal RNA". It matches the Rfam family "Bacterial small subunit ribosomal RNA", at positions 338 to 795 of the family's 1533-position model. The record is from RNAcentral.
CCUACGGGUGACAGCAGUGGGGAAUAUUGCACAAUGGGGGGAACCCUGAUGCAGCAACGCCGCGUGGGUGAAGAAGUACUCCGGUAUGUAAAGCCCUGUCAGCAGGGAAGAAAAUGACGGUACCUGACCAAGAAGCCCCGGCUAACUACGUGCCAGCCGCGGCAAUACGUAGGGGGCAAGCGUUAUCCGGAUUUAUUGGGUGUAAGGGGAGCGUAGACGGCAAGGCAAGUCUGGAGUGAAAGCCCGUGGCCCAACCACGGGACUGCUUUGGAAACUGUGUUGCUGGAGUGCAGGAGGGGUAAGUGGAAUUCCUAGUGUAGCGGUGAAAUGCGUAGAUAUUAGGAGGAACACCAGUGGCGAAGGCAGCCUGCUGGACUGUAACUGACGCUGAUGCUCGAAAGUGUGGGUAUCAAACAGGAUUAGAUACCCCUGUAGUC